UAGGGAAUCUUCGGCAAUGGGGGGAACGCUGACCGAGCAACGCCGCGUGAGUGAAGAAGGUUUUCGGAUCGUAAAGCUCUGUUGUUAAGGAAGAACGAGUGUGAGAAUGGAAAGUUCAUGCUGUGACGGUACUUAACCAGAAAGGGACGGCUAACUACGUGCCAGCAGCCGCGGUAAUACGUAGGUCCCGAGCGUUGUCCGGAUUUAUUGGGCGUAAAGCGAGCGCAGGCGGUUAGAAAAGUCUGAAGUGAAAGGCAGUGGCUCAACCAUUGUAGGCUUUGGAAACUGUUUAACUUGAGUGCAGAAGGGGAGAGUGGAAUUCCAUGUGUAGCGGUGAAAUGCGUAGAUAUAUGGGGGAACACCGGUGGCGAAAGCGGCUCUCUGGUCUGUAACUGACGCUGAGGCUCGAAAGCGUGGGGAGCGAACAGG
This 429-nucleotide ribosomal RNA is filed under the name Verrucomicrobiota bacterium. RNAcentral's name for it is "Verrucomicrobia bacterium partial 16S ribosomal RNA". It matches the Rfam family "Bacterial small subunit ribosomal RNA", at positions 355 to 776 of the family's 1533-position model. The record is from RNAcentral. Lineage: Bacteria; Pseudomonadati; Verrucomicrobiota.